CCGCCCUUAGCUCAGCUGGUAGAGCAACGGACUCUUAAUCCGCGGGUCGUAGGUUCGAAUCCUACAGGGCGGA
This 73-nucleotide transfer RNA is filed under the name Candidatus Yanofskybacteria bacterium CG10_big_fil_rev_8_21_14_0_10_36_16. Its description in RNAcentral is "tRNA-Lys". It matches the Rfam family "tRNA". From Rfam's summary of the family: Transfer RNA (tRNA) molecules are approximately 80 nucleotides in length. Their secondary structure includes four short double-helical elements and three loops (D, anti-codon, and T loops). The record is from RNAcentral. Lineage: Bacteria; Candidatus Yanofskyibacteriota.